GAUGAAGAACGUAGCGAAAUGCGAUACUUGGUGUGAAUUGCAGAAUCCCGUGAACCAUCGAGUCUUUGAACGCAAGUUGCGCCCGAAGCCAUUAGGCCGAGGGCACGCCUGCCUGGGCGUCACACGUCGUUGCCCCCCCAUCUACUCCUUCGGGAUUGCGGGGGGCGGAUGAUGGCCUCCCGUGCGCCUUGUCGCGCGGUUGGCAUAAAUGCCAAGUCCUCGGCGACGCACGCCACGACAAUCGGUGGUUGCGAAACCUCGGUUGCCCGUCGUGUGCGGUCGUCGCGCAUCGAGGGCUCGAAAAAAUUGCCGGGCUUCGGCUCGACUUUCAACGCGACCCCAGGUCAGGCGGGGUUACCCGCUGAAUUUAAGCAUAUCAAUAAGCGGAGGA
RNAcentral lists this unclassified non-coding RNA (391 nucleotides) under soil metagenome. RNAcentral describes it as "partial contains 5.8S ribosomal RNA, internal transcribed spacer 2, and large subunit ribosomal RNA". The stretch from base 1 to 122 matches the Rfam family "5.8S ribosomal RNA", at positions 35 to 154 of the family's 154-position model. The record is from RNAcentral.